AGGUUACUGCUAUCGGUGUUCGCCUAAGCCAUGCGAGUCAUAUGUUCUUCGUGAACAUGGCGUACUGCUCAGUAACACGUGGAUAACCUGCCCUUGGGUCCGGCAUAACCCCGGGAAACUGGGGAUAAUUCCGGAUAACGCACAUAUGCUGGAAUGCUUUAUGCGUCAAAUGGAUUCGUCCGCCCAAGGAUGGGUCUGCGGCCUAUCAGGUAGUAGUGGGUGUAAUGUACCUACUAGCCUACGACGGGUACGGGUUGUGAGAGCAAGAGCCCGGAGAUGGAUUCUGAGACAUGAAUCCAGGCCCUACGGGGCGCAGCAGGCGCGAAAACUUUACAAUGCGGGAAACCGUGAUAAGGGGACACCGAGUGCCAGCAUCAUAUGCUGGCUGUCCGGGUGUGUAAAAUACACCUGUUAGCAAGGGCCGGGCAAGACCGGUGCCAGCCGCCGCGGUAACACCGGCGGCCCGAGUGGUGAUCGUGAUUAUUGGGUCUAAAGGGUCCGUAGCCGGUUUGGUCAGUCCUCCGGGAAAUCUGACGGCUUAACCGUUAGGCUUUCGGGGGAUACUGCCAGACUUGGAACCGGGAGAGGUAAGAGGUACUACAGGGGUAGGAGUGAAAUCUUGUAAUCCCUGUGGGACCACCUGUGGCGAAGGCGUCUUACCAGAACGGGUUCGACGGUGAGGGACGAAAGCUGGGGGCACGAACCGGAUUAGAUACCCGGGUAGUCCCAGCCGUAAACGAUGCUCGCUAGGUGUCAGGCAUGGCGCGACCGUGUCUGGUGCCGCAGGGAAGCCGUGAAGCGAGCCACCUGGGAAGUACGGCCGCAAGGCUGAAACUUAA
RNAcentral lists this ribosomal RNA (839 nucleotides) under uncultured archaeon. RNAcentral's name for it is "bacterial SSU rRNA". It matches the Rfam family "Archaeal small subunit ribosomal RNA", at positions 21 to 859 of the family's 1478-position model. The record is from RNAcentral.